RNAcentral lists this transfer RNA (73 nucleotides) under Entomospira culicis. It matches the Rfam family "tRNA". From Rfam's summary of the family: Transfer RNA (tRNA) molecules are approximately 80 nucleotides in length. Their secondary structure includes four short double-helical elements and three loops (D, anti-codon, and T loops). Lineage: Bacteria; Pseudomonadati; Spirochaetota; Spirochaetia; Spirochaetales; Spirochaetaceae. The record is from Rfam by way of RNAcentral.
UUGGGCGUCGGCAAGUGGUAAGCCAACUGGUUUUGAUCCAGUCAUUUCGGAGGUUCGAAUCCUUCCGCCCAAG